Molecule: long non-coding RNA, 6824 nt
Organism: Brassica rapa (field mustard)
Lineage: Eukaryota; Viridiplantae; Streptophyta; Magnoliopsida; Brassicales; Brassicaceae
Source: RefSeq, a predicted model, not a curated record
UAAUUGUAAGGACCAAAAUGCAAAUAAAAAGAUGAAACUUCAAAUUUACAGUUUUGAAAAGUGAAACUCUAUAUUUGGAGUUUCACUCUUCAAAACUUCAAAUUUGAAGUUUUGAAGUUUCUUUUUAGAGAGCAAAAAAACUCUAUAUUUAGAGUUAUAGAGUUUCUUUUGGAGAUGCUCUUAGUCAUAAACGAUAAAAAUAUUGAACUUGCAAAGAUUUGGUGCGUGAGCAGUGAGCUCAUAUCACAAUACUAAAAGUAGAAUAAUCUCAACACCUAAGGUGUCCACAUCAGAUUAAAUAAUCCACCAAUCAAAAUACAUUUUAGUGCCACAUCAUUUUAGAAUUUACUUUUCUAUUUUUUUUCUAUAAAUUUUAGCUUUUCACGUUUCAUCUUCUUUUUCAGUCUCUCAAACGCUUCCUUCUCCCAUAAGCCAUAACACGUAUCCUCCUCCCCCUCACCAAACUCGAGCCCUACUACCGUUUAUAUGUUUGGCUCAUAUCCCAACCCUGAUUUUCUCUCUCACUACCGCGAUAGUAGAGAUGACACCAAACUCUCGAUUCCUUCUCCUCCAUGACUCUAACUUCCGAAGAUGCCAAUCGAAAUUCUGAUCAUAUUUUGGAUACCAACCUGGACGGUAAUAUUAAACGCCUAUAUAUCCACAUUCCCCGAGUUCACUGGCGACGCCUCCUCCAUCACUGAUUCGGCUCCCCUACAACCAAGACACAUUUGCUUCUCCGCCAGCACGACCGCGGCUUCCAGAUCCUUAACCGUGUUCCAUUUAACUAGAUUUUUCCAUCGUGAUUUGGAUCGUGGGGGUGAGGUCACCGUCAUGGAAAUUCUUUUCAUAUGCAAUAUACUGGCCUUUUUAGGCGGUAGAUCAUGCAUGAUUCGGGACGAUCACCAAAGCCUAUGUUUCGGCGAAUUCUCCUUCAGGUCCGACGUUCAUGGACCGCAAGUUGAUGCAUCGGAUUGAGCCCAUCGCAAGGUGUGAUCUUUGUGGAAUAGUUAGAUUGCAACUCUGGUUGUUAGAAUUUUUUUUGUGGAUUCCUUUCGUUUUUGCACCUCAAAUCCCAAAUUUUUGGGUGGUACUCAUGAGGAAAUGUGUUAAUCCCAAAGUAAGAUCGUUGUCAAGCUUCAAGUGAGGAAGUGAGGGUAGCUCUUGGUGAAAAAAAUGGCAAAGAGGGGAUUGGCAAUGAAAUUGACUUGAUGAUAUCUGGCGAUGGAGCAGUUUCAGUAGUAACGAAUCUUUCUGACCUGAAGCUGUUUGGGGUUGUCUUUGCCUUACCAUCUUCAUCCGAGCCUGCAACAUCAGAGAAGUUUAGCACGUACAUCUCAUUUCUACUCUUAACAUUCGGGAACUUAGAAAAUCGGGUUCCAUGACGCUGCUAUUGCACCUUUGACGCUGCUAUUGCACCUUACAUGGAUGUAAAUGUGUGUGUUUGUCUGUUUGACGGCUUAUCUUGCGCAUUUCAUAACUAAUUUGAAAGCUACGGCUCUGAGCCAGCUGUUUUGUUCACUAGCAUCAACCCCAAAGUAGUUGGAGGUAAGGAAAAUACUUUUUCCUUAUGUGUCCCACGUUUAGACAAGACUUAUUGCGCACAAAAAGGAGAAAAACAGUUGCCAUAAUGAAGAAGCAGAACCACCAUGCAAGUUAAGCUCUUCCAUUUACUAUGGAGGCCAAGAAAAAAGUUCUUCUACGAUGACUACCACCAAAGAUACUGUAAGUCGUAGUCUCACCUAUCAUACACAUAACACCUACGUGAGAAACUUACCAAAACUUAUAUUAUUUUCUUUACAUGUAUGUGUAGUCCCUAUAUGUAUUAGUAGUUUCAAGAUUAUGCGCUUCUUCUUUAUCUUUAACUUAUGCGGGACAAGAGAGAUGGAGAGGAAGGCGAUUCCAAAAGCGCGUCACGAGAAAACUGGUGAGAAGGGUUGUUUUAUUACUAACAUGCACUGCAUGUCAUGCAAUCCUGAAUUUGAGCAACUAUUAAGGGAAUUAUGAGACAUCAUGGUAUAAUCUUAAUAUGAAAUUUGAAGGAUCACUAUGAGAUAAAAAAAAAGAGUAUAUAUAAAGAGCGUAGCAUAUUUUAUAAAAGAAGAGCAACUCAACUCUUGAGUCUUGACAUGUUGAUUUGGUUUGUUUACGAAGAACGUAACACUAGAGACAAGCCUAUUUCUGAUGAUAUUGUUUGUCUAAUAUUUGCCUAUGUGAAACAAUGCUUUACGAAUAAUCGAAUUAGUACUUUAUAAUUAAAUCAUGAUGAAGAAAAGCUCAAAAAAGCAAAAUAUAGAAAAUCUUAAAAAGAACAAAAUAUAGAAAAGCUCAAAAAAAAUUACACUUUUAAAAAUAAAAAUAUACAUUUUCAAAUAAAUUAUAUUCUUUCACUGAAAAUAAAAAAUUGAAAAAUCACACAUUAAUUUCAGUGAUUUAAUUUUAGUAUCUACUAAAUCAUUUUUUUUAUUUUCACAACAAAAAAGUGACGACAAGUAAAAAUACAAUAUAUAUAUAUUUACAUCUUAUUUCGUUUAGAGAAUGAAACACCAUAAAUUAACAAAGUUCAAAGUUUACUUUAUCGAACCAAUAAAAAUAUUUAAUUUUAUUGAAAAAAGUAAUUGUAAACAAUAAAAAAUAUCAAAAUAAGAAAAAAUUAAUUGAAAAUUACAUUUAAAGCAUUAAUAAAACUUAUAAGAACAAUAAAUCAGCAACAUAUAGUUAUUUAGUCAUAUAAUAUCUAUUUUCAAUAUUAUUAGCAUUUGCACUCUAAUAAUUUUAAAUUCAUUUUAUAAAUUAUAUUUUGUAAAAAUUGAUAGAUAUGCAUUAUAUAUAUUCAUAUAGUAGUAUAAUAGAUUAAAUUAAAAAAAAAUUAUAGAAAAAACCCGGGCGUAGCCCGGGAAAACUACUAGUUUCAUUUAAUAGUAGAACUUAAAUGUCGAUGAUAAUAAUUAUAUUCAUAAUUUAACAUCCAAAUCAGAUCUUUUUUAUUCAGAGUAAUUGAUAUUAGUGAAAAUUAAGCCUCCAGGAUUUGUAUUUGUGGGGAUUACAAUCUUUUCAUCGGAGAAUGCUAUGGGCGCUUUUCUGUUUUCCUUUUUAGAGCUUAAGGAUCCUUGUGAUCCUUGUAAAAUUACCUUACAGUUUCAACAAUAAAUCAUAGAUGAGAAAAAUCUAACAAUUUGGGCCUGGUGUAAAUGUAAACCAACAACUUGUUAAAAAAGAAUCACAACUACACAGGUGUUGUUAGCUGAACCAAUAUGGGGAUAGACAUCCUCUAGUGCACCACAUACAUAUCAAACUGAAAAACUGAUAAAGCAUAUGUGAAAUUGUGAUCCAUCCUGAUUUUUGUGUAUCAAUACUAUUAAAUUAGGAACAUGUCCUAUUGAUAAUAGUUGAGUCCAACUUAAAAUAGAACUGCAUUUAAAAUCAAUAUUACAUGUUUAAAUAUUAAAACUACCUUAAUCUACAUAUUACAAAAAUGGUUAUUAAACUAACUUCCCUUUUAAUUCCUAUAUUCUCGGGACCAUCACUCUUAUCAAUACUAACUAAUUAAACUCCAUGGUUACAUUCCAGGUUUUGUAUAUUUGUUGAACAUACCAAAGUAUCACUCGGUUGAAUCUGUAAUCAUUUCCAGGUUCUGUAACUAAUUAAAAAAAAAGUUAAUUGUCUCAAAAUCACUCUCCAAUUAACCUAUAUAGAAUAUUCAAAUUUUUAAAAGUCACGUCUACCGUAUUCAAAAACAAGAUUUAGAAUUCACGGUUACAUAAUAUAUUUGAGCGGGUGGAAGAAUAUGACCAUAAAAUUGAAAUAUAUAUAUAUAUAUAUAUAUAUUUAAUAUAUGUGUGUGUGUUCAGAAUUCAGAUGCUCACUCGAUUCGGUGUAAUGUUGAGGCCUGAAAAACUGAACAACAAAACCAUAAUUGUAAUAUUUAUAACACUUUUGAAAAAUACGAUAUUUUUCAAAUGAAAUACUUCUACAUAAAAAAAAGUUUAUUGCCAAAGUAUACUAUUUUGUACUUGAUAAAUUCCUCUAUAUAUUACUAUUUCAAGUGUUCAAUAAUAUCUUAAAAUUAUCAAAAAAUAACUUUUAAAUCUAAAAUAAAAAAUAUAAUCUUAUAAUAGGUUAUUAAUAUUUCAUAUCAAUUAAUUUAUUUUUAUAUAUUACCAUUUUUUCUUUUUUGAAUGACAUCAUAACAAUUUUAUCAAAAUCUACGGAAUCACAAAUUUAUUCAAUUUUAUGUAAUUUACCGAAUACCAUAUUAACCUAUAUAUAUAUAUAUAUAUAUAUUUAACAUAAUAUAUUAAAAAAAAAUUUAUCAAAUAUUUUUCAAAAACUUGUGUUCGGUUUUCAGUGCGGGUUGGGUUUUAUAUUUGUUUUCUGAUAUAACACUUUAAGAAUUACUCGAGUAUAUGGGUCAGAUCUAAAGAGUAUGAGACUUUGAUUUUUGGGUUGAUUCCGAAUCGGAUUUUUUUAGUACGAAUAUUUUUGACGAAUUAUGUUAGGUAACUACUAAGAAAAUAUAAUAUGUUACAAACUUUAAGAAUAAAGUUUAAAAAUAAUUUCUGAAAUGCAUAUGGCACAAGUGUACUGUUAUGCAAUUAUUGACAUCUAAACUAUUAAAACAGAAGUACAUUUUGUAUUUAACCCUCACUUUUCCACAAUAAUUACCAUCACAUGCCAUUAGAUUAAAGUUUAAAAUAAAUUUUAAAAAUUAAAAUUCUCAUUAAGGAUGUUUUUGUCUUUCAUCUUACUCUAAUCUAACCAGCAAGACGACGUUAAGAUCAUAAAGAUCUAAGAUCAACAACACUUACGGCUUCUACGACGAAUGCAGAUGGAGAUUUACGUCACUGAAAAAUAUUCACCUACCCGAAGUUAUGUAUGUUGUAACAUUUUCUUCUUUGCUUAUCCUUAUGGCAGAAGAUUUGGAUGGCUAUGAAGGUGACGAAGACAGGAUUCAAGGUAUGUCUAUCGCUCUGCUUUUUCAUAUUUAUAUAAUAGACUAAUUUUGAUUUUCGAAUGAGAAAAUUUUCUGAUGCAAAAAUAUGUGUUAUGAACUCCAAGGAUCAUUUUUUUCAAAGCAUCUGAUUCUGGGAUCUCAAUGAUGGCCUCCAAUCUGAUUUUGGGACUUAUUCUCAUUAGCAUAUUGUUUCCUAUAAGCAUGGUCUGACCUUAAUAGGUCACUCAUUUGGGUGUUGUUGGAAGAAGAGUGAAGCAUGUUUUGAUGAAUGCAACCUCUACAUAAUCAAGUCCAUCUCAGAAACUAGCUCUGAUUCUUCAAACAAAGUAGAUUUCUACUCUUCUUUUUUUGCAAACAUAUUUCUACUCUUCUUGAAGGUGAAAAACGUAUAUAAAUGUCUAUUACUAAGCUUUAGUCAAAGAAACUGAAUGUUUUACUUAUUUGUUGCAUCUAAUGUUUGUUUCUGGAUAACAGGUGUACAACGAUGAAGCUGAUACUUUAAUUAUCAGUCUUGAGAAUGUUCAUCUCCACCAGGAGGCAUCAUCACUGUGGUUGCCGCUGGUAGCUGUACUCCGAACAAUUCGAAGAUGGGAGCUUGCAGGUUCAUCUGAGCAGAUUGACACUGCUAUAGUUUGUGACAAAGGUGAAGUAGACUUUAGAGGUGAUAGUAAAUUCGGAGAGCAUAGCUGUGAGUGAGCUUGUCAAGUCAAAGAUCAUGUCAGAGCAAAUUAGUCAGUAUCUUCCAAUAUAUUCUGUUAGAUAUGAGUUGUUGCAGGUCAUAAGAGAGAACCAGGUUAAACAGUAACUUGACGAGGAUGGUUAUACUAUAAACGUAAAGUAGGUUGCAACCAAGGCAUGUAGCAGUAAUGAGUGUUUUUUUUGAACUUUAGCAGUAAUGAGUGUUGCAAAAGCGAGUAAGCUAAGUAUAGAGAUGAGAAUAAAGUUAGCUACACUAUCGUUUCAAAGAUGUAACUGGAGUUGGGUUGCAGCUAGACAUAUUAAGUUCCAUCAUCUUUAAAAAAAUUGUGAUUCUUACUUAUAAUCAUAUUCUUAUGUAUAACCAUUACAAUAAUUUGACACUACUGUUUUACUAUGUUUGCAUGUUAUACUAUGAUUUCCGCUUAAACUCAAGGUGACAAAAUAUUAGAUUUAUGAAAAUAUACUAACAUUAAAGUUACAAAAAUGUUAUUUUGUUUUACAUAUCAAAUUUGUUUUGUUUAUCAUCAAUUCAGUUGAGCAAGUAUUUUGGUUCGUUAAUAAUUUGUUUAGAAAAGUAAUUAUUUCCAAAAAUCUAGACUAUAAUAUUCAUUUAGUUAUAAAAAAUUUAAAUCAAAGUAAAAUUAAAUGCUAAAUGAUAUAAAAAUAGAGAUAUUACAUAUUAAUCAAUGUCAAAAUCAUAGGCGAUUAAUUAAUUGUAUAUUCAAAUUACCUACUAAAUUUGAAUAGAACCAUUUUUGUCAACCAAAAGCACGCAAUUACCUAAUAUCAAUUUUUAAAAACAUUAAUCUAACUGUUUUAACGCAAAUUUAGUCAAGAUGUGUUUUGGGCCAUUAGUUUAUAAUUAGUCAAAGCAUCUAUAAUUGUAGGAAAUUAAAGACUAUUUUAUAUUAAAUAUUUCAGAUUGAUUUAAUUUUUAAAAGAAAUUUAGCUACAAAUUAUAUAUACAUUAUUUCAAUUUCUAAUUUUUAAAAAACAUAAUACACCAAGUUCUUUGAAAAUCAUGUUAUAAUAUAAAUAUAAACAUUUUAAACAAAAUAUGUUAAUAAUUCUCAUAUCAAUAUAAUUCACACAAUUUUAUUUGAAUUAUAAAAUAUAAAAAAGGUAAGUAAUUUCUAAAAUAUUAGUAUAUACUACAUAAGCAAAAACAAAUAUU